GGUUCCAACCCCCAUCUGUCCACCCACCCUCAUAUCACACCACACACACCCCUGCUCGCAAACCCCUCUCAUCUGCUCGCAAUCCAUGGCAGUUGAGCUACGGAGAACUUAGUGAGGUGUGGUCGCCCGGCUGAAGGUGGUGAUUUGGAGACGCCGGCGCGACUGCUGCCUUGGCCAGCGCCUUGUUUAGAGGAGUCAGCAAAAUUUACUUGUGUGCUGUCCGUCUGUUAGUUAGUUCAUCACAUGGUGGCGCCACUGGAGCAGCCGGCACCGCAUGCCACCUUGGAAAAAGACCAGCGAGACGCCGCCACAGCCACAGAGAAUAGCGGCAGGGAUCACGGAGCUGCCGACAUAGCAGAUGCUGAUCCAGGCGAAGCAAUAUGCGCUCCUGGAUCCGCACCUUCUGUCACGUCAAGGAUUUCGGUGCAGAAGGUGUGCUCGCUCGUUGGCAAGUUUAACAAAUUUAAGAGGGAUUUGGUCGAGGAGAUAGGCUUUGGUGGGAUGCUGAGGAUCAAGAUGCUGGCAAAGUUGAAUUUGAAGUUCAGCGCGUGGCUAAUGGAAAGAGUCGACGUCGAGUCGAGUACACUGAAAAUAGACGAGCAAAGGGUUCUGCAGAUCCAGGACCAUGAUGUCCAGAAGGUAUUCAGUCUGCCAUGCGGCACCAGAUCGAUAUGCCCCGAUACAACCGAGCCGUCUGAAGCUUGCAAAGAGUUCAUGCGAGCUUCUGCCUAUUUGAGCAAAGGUGCGCAUAGUCUAAAGGCCGCGGAGGCUUAUCUCCUGAGAGAUGACAUCAAUGGAGAUUCCAGCAAUGUCCAGAUAGAUUGCUUCAAGAUAGCCUUUGUUAUUUUUGUUGUUGGGCACCUCUUGGCUCCAUCAACUAAGCAUGACUACAUCACCAUAGAUUUCUGGGCCGCACUCAACGAUAUCUCGCAAAUUAAAGAAUUUAAUUGGUGUGCUUAUGUACUCGAGCAUUUGAACAGAGCUGUUGGGAAGUUGAAAACUGAUAUCCGCAACCGGAACAUCACUGUACAUCUUGUUGGCUGCCACCUGUUUCUUCAGGUAUUCUACUUGGACAAUCUUGAUCUUGGUCCACUUUCCAAGACAAAAGACCAUCUACCAAGGAUUAGUCUUUUUGACUACGAGUCGGUUAAGAAGAUGAUAGAAGUGAUUACUAGCAACGUGGAUGGAGAUACAUCAUUCGCUGGAGCUAGUUUUAGGCGCGCUCAAGAUGUUUGCUACUCCAGAGUCCACUGUGAAAGCCACACUCACCGAGCAGAUGUAGCUUCUGACCUGCCCCAUCAUGCCCCAGGUUUUGUUGGCACAAAGCACCAACACAACCCAAUUACUCCCAUGCUACGAAGCAGCUUCACUGAAACUGGACAAGAAGAUUUCUCCAACCAUCUCCGAUUGAAAUACCCGUCACUUUGCAAACGCAGGCAGACCACCCGCUUAUGACCAUUUUGGAAGAACAUAAUGCACACAUGAUGGAAAAUAUAUCUGAAAUUAGGCGAAGUUGCGAAGUGGCGAUGUCUACCUUAGCGGACAAGCUUCUUGGCUAUAUAUCUGAGAAUCGCUGUUGCUGCAGAGCGGUGGGACGAACCGAUUGUUUACUGAGGUCACCGCACACAAUUCAUGAGAGUUCAACCGAGCAGAAUUCACUCUCACAAACGGGAUGCACCUGAGCCCACUGGAGCAGGACAUCACAAGAAGAUCCGGGUGAACCAACGUCUAGUUGAGACAGACCUUCAAGCAAGUAUACCUGGAUGCUCAACUAACAACAGCCUACCCUGCAGUCCUUUACAAGUUGACAUCAACCUGGCCGCACCUUAGUCCAGAUGAGCAUCUUUAUUUUGCUUUCAGCAUCAACUUUCACGCUGUAUGUAACACUGGAUCAGCAGCCCUCAUGUCAUCAGAGAUGUCCGUUGUCUUCGUAGCAUAGUGUCUUAGGCUUUCAUCACCAACUUGCACGAUAUAUGUGAACUCUGAUUGUUCACGGCUUAGGUUGCUGCAUACUGUCUUAAGCGAUCGUUUGGUGCGCAUUCUCUAGGGUCCCAAAGAAAUUCCCGAUAAUGCUGUAAACUCUAGCCAGGCUAACAUGUUUCUCCCUGAGUUGCUUAACCAAUUAAGUCUUUUGUGCAAUUGCCAA
Molecule: RNA transcript, 2146 nt
Organism: Triticum dicoccoides
Lineage: Eukaryota; Viridiplantae; Streptophyta; Magnoliopsida; Poales; Poaceae
Exons: 7
Source: RefSeq, a predicted model, not a curated record